This 497-nucleotide ribosomal RNA is filed under the name uncultured bacterium. RNAcentral's name for it is "partial 16S ribosomal RNA". It matches the Rfam family "Bacterial small subunit ribosomal RNA", at positions 28 to 507 of the family's 1533-position model. The record is from RNAcentral.
GAUGAACGCUGGCGGCGUGCCUAAUACAUGCAAGUCGAGCGAACAGACGAGGAGCUUGCUCCUCUGACGUUAGCGGCGGACGGGUGAGUAACACGUGGAUAACCUACCUAUAAGACUGGGAUAACUUCGGGAAACCGGAGCUAAUACCGGAUAAUAUAUUGAACCGCAUGGUUCAAUAGUGAAAGACGGUUUUGCUGUCACUUAUAGAUGGAUCCGCGCCGCAUUAGCUAGUUGGUAAGGUAACGGCUUACCAAGGCGACGAUGCGUAGCCGACCUGAGCGGGUGAUCGGCCACACGGGAACUGGGACACGGUCCAGACUCCUGAGGGAGGCAGCAGUAGGGAAUUUUCCGCAAUGGGCGAAAGCCUGACGGAGCAACGCCGCGUGAGUGAUGAAGGUCUUCGGAUCGUAAAACUCUGUUAUGAGGGAAGAACAAAUGUGUAAGUAACUAUGCACGUCUUGACGGUACCUAAUCAGAAAGCCACGGCUAACUACGUG